Long non-coding RNA from Peromyscus leucopus (white-footed mouse), 824 nucleotides. RefSeq lists it as uncharacterized. Lineage: Eukaryota; Metazoa; Chordata; Mammalia; Rodentia; Cricetidae. The transcript is spliced from 4 exons. The record is from RefSeq and is a predicted model, not a curated record.
CUUAACAUAUAGCAUUGGUAGCAUCCAUUCCCAGGACAUAAACAAAGCGGAGAAGGGCCGAUUUCUGGGUAGAAAUGGGUAGGAUAGCCCCUUGAGCAGCUUAAGAAGCAUGACAGGAGGAAGGGACCUGAUACUCCUACAGAGUCCUCAGAAUGAAAAGGCUGCUCUCUGAACAAUGAAACUCACAGGGAGAAGAGGAAUUUAAUCCUAACACUUCAGCCUUGCAAGCUGCUCAGGGCACGGACCCCAGGAGAGUCGGCGCAUGUGUGAGUGCAGACAGGCUCUCGUCUUGCGCAGCGGAGACUGGCAGUCAUCUAUGGAAUGACCGUGUGCAUGGGAUUUUAAUACAUCUGAGAAGAAUUCAGGAGGUAAAGCAACUGGUUCAAAUAGUGGAAUUUGUUAAACCACACAAAACAGGAUGAAAAAUACCCAUGUCGGUCUGAAUUUUGACUCCUUGUGUGGCUCUGAUGGCCUUCUUCAAUGAUGCGUCAUUCUCCAUCCUGUGUUCUCCAGGAGCUGUUUGCCUAGUGGGUCCACCCCCCCACCCCAACCCCCACCAGGAUUGUUACCUGAUCACCAUGAGUUCUCCCAUUUGCCAACCACUGUGUCAACCAAGAAUGCAUUCUGUAACCGCGAGGCUACGAAUCAAUAGAAUUGUGACUUGUCAAGUGAGUGGAUAUUUGACAUUCCGGAAAGAAACUUGGGUCUGCUGUAGCUGUCUUUAGCCCCAUGUCUGUACAGGGGGUCAGAAACACUUCUUUCCCUUUGCUCCUACAGACAGACAGAAGAGUGACAGACAGAUGUACAAACACAACAGGAGCACA